Long non-coding RNA from Macaca fascicularis (crab-eating macaque), 2264 nucleotides. The record is from Ensembl. NCBI's taxonomy places the organism in Eukaryota, Metazoa, Chordata, Mammalia, Primates, Cercopithecidae.
AUGUUCAGGCUGAAGCAACUCUGUAGCCCACAGUCCGUGCUGGCCGCUGUCGGGGUGAGGCAGCUGCUGGGCCUGGCGUCGCUGAUGCCCUCCACACCUGGUCCUCGAGCCAGGCUGAGGACAGGAAGGGUGUUGCUGGCCUGUAGCUCCUGUUGCCCACCCGGAGCCAGGCUCCCCACUGGAGGCUCCCAGCCGAGAGGACCCAGGCCCACCCAUGGGCGUCUGGCAGGCCAAGCUCCCAGCCCGGGCCGUGGUCUCCUGGGGAUGCCGCUGGCCUGACUCUCAGCUUAGGCCCAGGUGUCAGGGGGUGUCCUGCCCGUCUUCCCAAGGAUGCCAUUGCUGUCUUCAUCAUCUUCCCCCGUGUGAGACACUGGUUGUCCGGUACUCAGUGACAGCGUGCCAGACGCACACUCUAUGUGAGGUGCUUUCAGGUCCCUGUCCUCAGGAAGCGCAGAGUCCGGUGGAAGAGAUGAGUGCUGAAUAAAUCACUAAAUACACAAAACAACAAUGUAAGCAGCACUUAUUUAAAAAAAAAAAAAAAAAAAAAAAACAGGUCCUGUCGAUCAAUUUUGAGUCUCUCUGCCUCGUCUGUCCCCUGACUCCCUUUCGUGCACCACGGCAUGAGAAUCUUUCCUCACGCUGUUAAGGUAUUGCUGAGCAUUGACACUGACCUCAAGGAAAAGCAGUGGUUGGACCCAGCCGUGUGUGGCACUCACGUGCGAUUCAGUAGCCGUUGCCGGGCUGUCCACGCCUGUUGUGACUACCGAUUGGGGUCAGAUUUGGGGUGAAGAAUAAGUAACUUUCUGCAUGCUUUGUCUCUCUCGAGACACUUCUACAACAAGCUGAGUAUAAUCUCUCCAGCCCUGGAGAUUUUCACCUGACUUGUUAACCCCACGCGUAGACCCCCGCUGCAGGCCUCUGGCCUGAGGCUCACUGCAUGUAGCCCCUGGCAUACAACACUAGUGCCCCACAGCGCGAUGUGCUUCUAGCCCUUCUGCACUGCACCUAGGCUCAGGGUUCCAACGGCCAGCCCGAAACGCCUGCCUGCCUUCUUUCUGGAAACAGCACGUCCCGGCCGUGUGCCUGCCCCUUUCUCUACUGAACUAGUCCCCAAACCAAAGGCAAGCCCUCUCGGGCCUGGGGGGAUGGGGCCGGCCACACCCCUGACUCCGUCCUGGCUCUGCCCCAUACCCCUGCCGUGGGGCCGACCCGGGGGAUGCAGACAUCCAGCUCCGUAUUCCUGCCUUUCGGGGCCAGGAUGCAAAAACAGUUUUUGCGUAAAAGAUGUCACACUGAUCUGCUCGAGUGGGGUGGACACAUGAGUUAAGUUUUAUCAUGAACACUCGCUGCUUGUUAAUUCAGGGAUAACGGUGGCAUUCUUACAAAGUGCUCGGGAAAUAGAAUGACAGGAACGCUUUCAGGGAGCCCAGGAAGUUACCAGAGACACUGGUGUCAGUCGGCCUAGGCAACAGCAGCGUACGCUUUUCAAACAUCAUUGAGUUGUCUUAGAAUCUGAAGCUGUGUAAUGACAAUGUCACCUGGAGUUCUUUUCCAUUUCUUAACUUUUUGUUGCACAAGUAUUUGGACAGAAGUCGAACUGUGAAUGAGAUACUGAAAUGCACUAAAUUGUAUUAAAUUAAACUGGAGUUACUUGAUACAAUGAAGAAAUGCAUCUGAUCUACUUGUAUUUAUUGUCUCAGAAUUGUACGUUGUGACAAUCAAAUGUUACUUGCCUAAAUGCCAGGAAAUUCAACUGGCUUCUUAAUCACCAAGAUCGCCAGCAAGUACUGUAACUGUAAAUGAAAAUCUCUCUGGAAAACUCACACAAACCAUUGACCUGAGUGCACAUGACAGCCACUGGCUUCUUUUUCUAUAAUUGAAAAUCUGCCAUCGCUGACUGUUGGCCAGUUUCAAAGGGACCCAUUGUAUACAGGGUGCAAAUGUAUUAUAUGGAUGUUUCCUUUUGUACGCUUCAUUUUUACAAGUUUUGCUACUCACAAGCUUUAUGUAGUGGAGGAUAGAGGUAUUUUUGGUCUUUAGAAGCUUGUUGGGGUGAGGGCUGCUAACUUACUCUUCGAAGGCCUGUGUCCCGAAGGCCUGGCUGCGUUUGCCGUGCUGUGCGAGGACCUGUGUACACAGGCAGGUGUGCGCCUGCCCAAGCGCGAGUAGCUCUUGUGUACUGGUGAAAUGCUGCAGGCAUCUGUUUAUUAAAUUUGCUGCUGUGAAAGAGAGGGAUAAAAAACCACAAUAUAAGAGAAAGCGAC